This 500-nucleotide ribosomal RNA is filed under the name uncultured bacterium. Its description in RNAcentral is "partial 16S ribosomal RNA". It matches the Rfam family "Bacterial small subunit ribosomal RNA", at positions 30 to 523 of the family's 1533-position model. The record is from RNAcentral.
AUUGAACGCUGGCGGCAUGCCUUACACAUGCAAGUCGAACGGCAGCACGGGAGCAAUCCUGGUGGCGAGUGGCGAACGGGUGAGUAAAGUAUCGGAACGUGCCCAGUCGUGGGGGAUAACGUAGCGAAAGUUACGCUAAUACCGCAUACGAUCUAUGGAUGAAAGCGGGGGAUCGCAAGACCUCGCGCGAUUGGAGCGGCCGAUAUCAGAUUAGGUAGUUGGUGGGGUAAAGGCUCACCAAGCCGACGAUCUGUAGCUGGUCUCAGAGGACGACCAGACACAGUGGGACUGAGACACGGCCAAGACUCCUAAGGGAGGCAGCAGGGGGGAAUUUUGGACAAUGGGCGAAAGCCUGAUUCAGCCAUGCCGCGUGCAGGAUGAAGGCCUUCGGAUUGUAAACUGCUUUUGUACGGAACGAAAAGGUUUGGCCUAAUAAGCUGAGCUCAUGACGGUACCGUAAGAAUAAGCACCGGCUAACUACGUGCCAGCCGCCGCAGUAA